GUGUCAGCAGCCGCGGUAAUACGUAGGUGGGUUUGCUCGAGAGGAAUUAUUGGGCGUAAAGCGCGCGCAGGCGGUCCUUUAAGUCUGAUGUGAAAGCCCACGGCUCAACCGUGGAGGGUCAUUGGAAACUGGGGGACUUGAGUGCAGAAGAGGAAAGCGGAAUUCCACGUGUAGCGGUGAAAUGCGUAGAGAUGUGGAGGAACACCAGUGGCGAAGGCGGCUUUCUGGUCUGUAACUGACGCUGAGGCGCGAAAGCGUGGGGAGCAAACAGGAUUAGAUACCCUGGUAGUCCACGCCGUAAACGAUGAGUGCUAAGUGUUAGAGGGUUUCCGCCCUUUAGUGCUGCAGCUAACGCAUUAAGCACUCCGCCUGGGGAGUACGGCCGCAAGGCUGAA
Molecule: ribosomal RNA, 395 nt
Filed under: uncultured bacterium
Lineage: Bacteria
Description: bacterial SSU rRNA
Rfam family: Bacterial small subunit ribosomal RNA
Source: RNAcentral